This 497-nucleotide ribosomal RNA is filed under the name uncultured bacterium. RNAcentral's name for it is "partial 16S ribosomal RNA". It matches the Rfam family "Bacterial small subunit ribosomal RNA", at positions 28 to 507 of the family's 1533-position model. The record is from RNAcentral.
GAUGAACGCUGGCGGCGUGCCUAAUACAUGCAAGUCGAGCGAACAGACGAGGAGCUUGCUCCUCUGACGUUAGCGGCGGACGGGUGAGUAACACGUGGAUAACCUACCUAUAAGACUGGGAUAACUUCGGGAAACCGGAGCUAAUACCGGAUAACAUGUUGAACCGCAUGGUUCAACAGUGAAAGACGGUCUUGCUGUCGCUUAUAGAUGGAUCCGCGCCGCAUUAGCUAGUUGGUACGGUAACGGCUUACCAAGGCAACGAUGCGUAGCCGACCUGAGAGGGUGAUCGGCCACACUGGAACUGAGACACGGUCCAGACUCCUACGGGAGGCAGCAGUAGGGAAUCUUCCGCAAUGGGCGAAAGCCUGACGGAGCAACGCCGCGUGAGUGAAGAAGGUCUUCGGAUCGUAAAACUCUGUUAUUAGGGAAGAACAAAUGUGUAAGUAACUAUGCACGUCUUGACGGUACCUAAUCAGAAAGCCACGGCUAACUACGUG